This 95-nucleotide signal recognition particle RNA is filed under the name Micavibrio sp. Its description in RNAcentral is "signal recognition particle sRNA small type". It matches the Rfam family "Bacterial small signal recognition particle RNA". From Rfam's summary of the family: The signal recognition particle (SRP) is a universally conserved ribonucleoprotein involved in the co-translational targeting of proteins to membranes. The record is from RNAcentral. Lineage: Bacteria; Pseudomonadati; Bdellovibrionota; Bdellovibrionia; Bdellovibrionales; Pseudobdellovibrionaceae.
CGGAAGUCGGCGCGGGCGAUGUGUUCGCCAACCCGGUCAGGGGCGAAAGCCAGCAGCCGUAACGAAUUUUAUCGGGUCGUGUCCGGCUUCCAUUU